Molecule: ribosomal RNA, 1602 nt
Filed under: uncultured Glomus
Lineage: Eukaryota; Fungi; Glomeromycota; Glomeromycetes; Glomerales; Glomeraceae
Description: eukaryotic LSU rRNA
Rfam family: Eukaryotic large subunit ribosomal RNA (bases 753-1602)
Source: RNAcentral
UCGCUCUUCAACGAGGAAUCCCUAGUAAGCACAAGUCAUCAGCUUGUGUUGAUUACGUCCCUGCCCUUUGUACACACCGCCCGUCGCUACUACCGAUUGAAUGGCUUAGUGAGACCUCCGGAUUGGCAUUCAGAAGUUGGCAACAACAUCUGUCUGCUGAGAAAUUGUUCAAACUUGGUCAUUUAGAGGAAGUAAAAGUCGUAACAAGGUUUCCGUAGGUGAACCUGCGGAAGGAUCAUUAAUGAUUUUUUAAGCAAGCCAAGCUUUUUUUUAUAAAAAGUGAGGUUUUGCGAAUGUAUUUAAAACCCCCACUCUUUUAAAAAAUAUAUAUUUCAUUCAUAUAUAAAAUGAAUAAAAAAAAAUCACUUUCAACAACGGAUCUCUUGGCUCUCGCAUCGAUGAAGAACGCAGCGAAAUGCGAUAGGUAGUGUGAAUUGCAGAUGUAACGUGAAUCAUCGAAUCUUUGAACGCAAAUUGCACUCUCUGGUAUUCCGGGGAGUAUGCCUGUUUGAGGGUCGCCAAAUCAACAUCGAAAUUCAUUUGCUUUUGUAAAUGUUUAUCGGAUUUGAGCCGUCUUUUUUUAUCUUGUUAAUUAAAGUGGCUUAAAAUGUAUUUUUUUUGGUAUCGAAAAACGUUAUUUUACGAUCAAAUUGAUUAAAAAAACAAACGUUUUCGAAUGCCGCCUUUUUAAUGUAAUACGUUUGACUGUGAUGGUUAAUCAUAGUUUCAUUCGUAUACGAUUUUUUAAUUUUUGACCUCAAAUCAGGUAAGAACACCCGCUGAACUUAAGCAUAUCAAUAAGCGGAGGAAAAGAAAAUAACAAUGAUUCCCCUAGUAACUGCGAGUGAAGAGGGAUAAGCUCAAAUUUUAAAUCUGUUUGGUUUUACCUGACAGAGUUGUAAUUUAAAGAGACGUUUUUCUGUGUCUUGAGUUAAUCAAAAUCCUUUGGAAUGAGGUAUCAUGGAGGGUGACAAUCCCGUUCAUGGUUAAUUCUAAGAUGCUUUAUGAUGCGUUUUCGAAGAGUCGAGUUGUUUGGGAUUGCAGCUCAAAAUGGGAGGUAAAUUUCUCCUAAGGCUAAAUAUUGGCGAGAGACCGAUAGCGAACAAGUACCGUGAGGGAAAGAUGAAAAGAACUUUGAAAAGAGAGUUAAACAGUACGUGAAAUUGUUGAAAGGGAAACGAUUGAAGUCAGUCGUACCAGCGGGAAAUCAACCUUUCGAGUGGGGGUUUUGGAGUUUUGAAGAGUGUCAAAACCUUUGAGAUUUUAAAAUUUUCGCUCUUUUGGUGUACUUUCUCGUGGGUAGGUUAACAUCGAUUUUGAUCAUCAUAAAAAGAUUGGAGGAAUGUAGCUUCGAUCUUGUAUUGAAGUGUUAUAGCCUUUGGUAAAUGUGAUGAUUAGGAUCGAGGAUUGCAACGAAUACCCUUUUGGGCUAUCCGCCUGAUCUCUGAUACGUGGCCUUGGUAUCGAAAGCUUGCUUAUGGUAUUAAGGUAUUACGGUCAAAAGGUUAGAACGGAUUACAUUCGUUAAGGAUGUUGACGUAAUGGCUUUAAACGACCCGUCUUGAAACACGGACCAAGGAGUCUAACAUAUAUGCGAGUGUU